This 236-nucleotide ribosomal RNA is filed under the name uncultured Staphylococcus sp. RNAcentral's name for it is "partial 16S ribosomal RNA". It matches the Rfam family "Bacterial small subunit ribosomal RNA", at positions 104 to 334 of the family's 1533-position model. The record is from RNAcentral. Lineage: Bacteria; Bacillati; Bacillota; Bacilli; Caryophanales; Staphylococcaceae.
GGGUGAGUAACACGUGGAUAACCUACCUAUAAGACUGGGAUAACUUCGGGAAACCGGAGCUAAUACCGGAUAAUAUUUUGAACCGCAUAAUUCAAAAGUGAAAGACGGUCUUGCUGUCACUUAUAGAUGGAUCCGCGCUGCAUUAGCUAGUUGGUAAGGUAACGGCUUACCAAGGCAACGAUGCAUAGCCGACCUGAGAGGGUGAUCGGCCACACUGGAACUGAGACACGGUCCAG